Molecule: long non-coding RNA, 1075 nt
Filed under: Triticum aestivum (bread wheat)
Lineage: Eukaryota; Viridiplantae; Streptophyta; Magnoliopsida; Poales; Poaceae
Description: long non-coding RNA (TAES_LNC004480)
Source: RNAcentral
AGCGGGAACGGUCCAUCGGAUUGGGCGGUGAUUGCAAGCUCUGCCUCUAUUCUUCACAGUAGGUUCUGAAUUUGAAUCGGAAUAAACCUGGCUGAAGUUGCAAUCUGCACUAUGGAGGUACACGCUGCGAUUAAAUUGGUUUUGAGUUCAUAUCCAAUGUUUUGCUGACAACUAAAUUUUGUUAGCAGCCCUCUCCGCAAGGAACUUUUAUCGACGCGGCUCUGAAACUAGUACUUGACAUGGUAGAAGCAUGGUUUAUUCGGCCUAGACUAAUACAGUACAUAUACUGUAAUUUUCAGGAUCAUUACGGGCUGUGGCGAGCCGUCUGCUCUUCCUACAGAGUUAGUGUCCAUUUGCACUGUACUAUAUAAUUCGUUAGUGAUCAUGAUCACCUUACUUGGUGUUCUCGAUCGAGCCGCGUAGAUGGUGACUACGUUGUUGUUGCUGGUGGUUUGAGAGAAACUGAAUUGAAAAGAUUCCUGGACGUAUAAUCUGUCAGGUAUCAUCUGUAAUUUGGAUUCAAGUUUCAGAUGUCUUAGAUAUAUUGUAUCUUCAUCAUUUUCUCUAGCUUGAUACUGUGCCAAGCCACGAUCCUCUCUCCUCUGCUGUGGUGUAAGUGGUGCGGGGAGACCCGCGCGCGUUCGAGGGAGAGCUAGCCCGUAAGGUGCCUUUUGGCCUACCUCUUGUGGUCCUCACCUGGUUCAAGAGCUGGGAUUUGAAAAGCUAGAGAUGCACUUUUUCCUGGGAUUCUGACAUGGAUUUUAUUGCAAGCAAUGGCCCCUGGAGAUUCCGUCAUGCAUUGUUUAACAAGCUCAGUCAUUGUGUCAAUUAAAACUGAAAAGGACGUGUCAAAACUUAUCAAAAGGAAACAAUUUGUUGUCUCUUGGCUUUUUGGUUGCAAAUGCACUAUUUUUUUUGAGAGAACAAAUUCACUAUUAUUGAGAUAGAGAAUGCACGUCAACUACACAACAAAUUAUCAUGGUGUUCAAUUUUCCAAUCUUCCACUUAAUUUUGUUUCUAUCAUUUAGUUUGCUUUCUCUUUUCCAAUCUUUCACGUAAUAUUGUUGUCCAACAG